ACGCUCGACACCUACGGGAGGCAGCAGUCGGGAAUAUUGCGCAAUGGAGGAAACUCUGACGCAGUGACGCCGCGUGCAGGAAGAAGGUUUUCGGAUUGUAAACUGCUUUAGACAGGGAAGAAAGAAAUGACAGUACCUGUAGAAUAAGCUCCGGCUAACUACGUGCCAACAGCCGCGGUAAUCUGAGCGGGCUGGCAAGGC
This 201-nucleotide ribosomal RNA is filed under the name uncultured bacterium. Its description in RNAcentral is "partial 16S ribosomal RNA". It matches the Rfam family "Bacterial small subunit ribosomal RNA", at positions 328 to 539 of the family's 1533-position model. The record is from RNAcentral.